This 789-nucleotide ribosomal RNA is filed under the name uncultured bacterium. Its description in RNAcentral is "bacterial SSU rRNA". It matches the Rfam family "Bacterial small subunit ribosomal RNA", at positions 669 to 1457 of the family's 1533-position model. The record is from RNAcentral.
CCAAGUGUAGCGGUGGAAUGCGUAGAUAUAUGGAGGANCACCAGUGGCGAAAGCGGCUCUCUGGUCUGUCACUGACGCUGAGGCUNGAAAGCGUGGGUAGCGAACAGGAUUAGAUACCCUGGUAGUNCACGCCGUAAACGAUGAGUGCUAGGUGUUAGGCCCUUUCCGGGGCUUAGUGCCGGAGCUAACGCAAUAAGCACUCCGCCUGGGGAGUACGACCGCAAGGUUGAAACUCAAAGGAAUUGACGGGGGCCCGCACAAGCGGUGGAGCAUGUGGUUUAAUUCGAAGCAACGCGAAGAACCUUACCAGGUCUUGACAUCCCGAUGCUAUUCUUAGAGAUAGGAAGUUACUUCGGUACAUCGGAGACAGGUGGUGCAUGGUUGUCGUCAGCUCGUGUCGUGAGAUGUUGGGUUAAGUCCCGCAACGAGCGCAACCCUUAUUGUUAGUUGCCAUCAUUAAGUUGGGCACUCUAGCGAGACUGCCGGUAAUAAACCGGAGGAAGGUGGGGAUGACGUCAAAUCAUCAUGCCCCUUAUGACCUGGGCUACACACGUGCUACAAUGGUCGGUACAACGAGUUGCGAGCCGGUGACGGCAAGCUAAUCUCUGAAAGCCGAUCUCAGUUCGGAUUGGAGGCUGCAACUCGCCUCCAUGAAGUCGGAAUCGCUAGUAAUCGCGGAUCAGCACGCCGCGGUGAAUACGUUCCCGGGCCUUGUACACACCGCCCGUCACACCACGAGAGUUUGUAACACCCGAAGUCGGUGAGGUAACCUUUUAGGGGCCAGCCGCC